This 286-nucleotide long non-coding RNA is filed under the name Ursus maritimus (polar bear). Its description in RNAcentral is "lncRNA (ENSUMAG00000000592.1)". The record is from RNAcentral. Lineage: Eukaryota; Metazoa; Chordata; Mammalia; Carnivora; Ursidae.
GAGAGCUCAAACUCAGAUGGUGAAGGCCCUCCAGCCCCUGAGCCUGACUUCUGACCCUUGACCCAGGGCGAACGAGGGCCUCCAGGCAUAGAUGGUGACAAAGGACCUCGUGGAGAGAGUGGGAACCCUGGAGAGAAGGGCCCCAAAGGAGAGCCUGGUGACAAGGGUUCAGCCGGGUUGCUGGGAGCUCGUGGACUCACGGGACCCAAGGGUGAGCCUGGUGCCGCAGGGAUCCCAGGUGACCCGGGAUUCCCAGGAAAGGACGGAGCCCCUGGUGUCCGAGGAG